Molecule: ribosomal RNA, 253 nt
Filed under: uncultured bacterium
Lineage: Bacteria
Description: partial 16S ribosomal RNA
Rfam family: Bacterial small subunit ribosomal RNA
Source: RNAcentral
UACGGAGGGAGCUCGCGUUGUUCGGAAAUACUGGGCGUAAAGCGCACGUAGGCGGCGCAGCAAGUCAGGGGUGAAAUCCCGGGGCUCAACCCCGGAACUGCCCUUGAAACUGCAGUGCUAGAAUCCUGGAGAGGCGAGUGGAAUUCCGAGUGUAGAGGUGAAAUUCGUAGAUAUUCGGAAGAACACCAGUGGCGAAGGCGACUCGCUGGACAGGUAUUGACGCUGAGACGCGAAAGCGUGGGGAGCGAACAGG